UGGGGAAUAUUGCACAAUGGAGGGAACUCUGAUGCAGCGACGCCGCGUGAACGAAGAAGGCUUUCGAGUCGUAAAGUUCUUUUAUAUGGGAAGAUAAUGACGGUACCAUAAGAAAAAGCCCCGGCUAACUACGUGCCAGCAGCCGCGGUAAUACGUAGGGGGCUAGCGUUGUCCGGAAUCACUGGGCGUAAAGGGUUCGCAGGCGGAAAUGCAAGUCAGGUGUAAAAGGCAGUAGCUUAACUACUGUAAGCAUUUGAAACUGCAUAUCUUGAGAAGAGUAGAGGUAAGUGGAAUUUUUAGUGUAGCGGUGGAAUGCGUAGAUAUUAAAAAGAAUACCGGUGGCGAAGGCGGCUUACUGGGCUCAUUCUGACGCUGAGGAACGAAAGCGUGGGUAGCAAACAGG
This 403-nucleotide ribosomal RNA is filed under the name bacterium. Its description in RNAcentral is "partial 16S ribosomal RNA". It matches the Rfam family "Bacterial small subunit ribosomal RNA", at positions 355 to 776 of the family's 1533-position model. The record is from RNAcentral.